Molecule: long non-coding RNA, 4338 nt
Organism: Columba livia (rock pigeon)
Lineage: Eukaryota; Metazoa; Chordata; Aves; Columbiformes; Columbidae
Exons: 3
Source: RefSeq, a predicted model, not a curated record
AGAGAUGUUUCAAUCUACAUGUGAAAUAAAAGGAGCGUGUUGCAUAUACAGUUUAUUCUCUAAGUAUUAGUCCACUUAAAAAAGUUUGUUGAGUGAAAAUAGCUCACUGAUUGUUAUCCUCAAAAUAUCAGCGACCUCUCAGGAUACAAGUCGAACACUCCUCACUUCUGAUGGUAGGAUUAUUUUCAGCAGUGGAAAUGAGGCAUCCCACACAAAGGUGAAUUUCAUCAUAUUUGGUUGUGUUGGGACUAUUUUUGUCCCGUCUCCACCAUUUUACCAGUGCUAUCAGGGCACGCACUCCAGAUGCAAUCAUUGCAACAGGCUGAGCUGGUGUCCGUCACUGGCUGUGAUUCCUGGGCUGCAAAUGUAAGAAGGAGUUUCUACCUGUGGUGUAACUUCCUCUGUUAAUAAUAAUUUGGGAACUGACAGACAGAACACCUGAAUUUUAGACCACAUCAUCUUCUUCUAUAGCGUGACUUCAUCCAUGCAUCUUCCUCUCUUAUCUUACUGCAAGUGGGGCCCUGCCUUGCUGCCUUCCUGCCUGGCUCUGGAAGUCGCUUAGUUUUAGUUGCAAGCCUUUGCUAGUGAGGGUAACAUCCCAGCCCAAGACCAAACCCUGAUUCAGGCCUCACUUUGCCUUCUGCAUCUGCUGCUAUUCUGGUACAAAUCACAGCUCAGAUCGUUGCAGCUCUGCUGAAGGCAGGAACUAGGACACUUUCCAGCAGUGGAGAACCUGCCUGUCUGCUUUCUAGGCAGCAUCAUGCUUUGUGGUUAUCAAAAUAGCCCUUCUGCUGAGAUUUGCUCCUCGAAUAUAGCCCUUCAAAGCAGGAAGAUAGGUGGAAUAAGCUCAGAGUCAGAAAAAAGGGGGUUUUAUCUUUGCACUUGCUGGCCUGGAGAGGACAGAGGAACUGGGUUUGAAAGGAGGCUCUGCAUAUCUUGAUAUAAAAUAUGCAUUUGAGAAAAGUGAAUGUGCACGUUCAGGCCAGAGUUUCAGUAACUUUUGUUAUGUCCAUCCAUUAGAUCACCUGAGAGAAACUAAGCACGUAGCACUUGUGGAGCAGUGUCAAGACAAAGACUGUUACAGGCCAUACAGUCAUGGCUCUGUGUUGAGAAAGCACUGAGGUUUCUGGAGUACAUAGCCAGUUUGGGUAUCAAAUCUCCGGCCUCAACUUGCAACAAGGAAUGAUUCAAGAAAAUCACUUUCCAUGGCUGGAAGGGAGACGACCUGAACCUUGUCUAGAGAUCAGAAGGUGGGGCCAUCCUGACAUUAAACAUUGGUUUGGAUCCAGGUCUGGAGACGCUCAGGAAGGUCACUUCACCUCCAUGUCAGCAACCUCAGCAGAAAAAUUAUGGUAAUUAUCAUUGAAGAGUCUCUGAAGUCAGCCCAUGGAAAGGGAGUGAAUGUUUUUCCCGUAGUAGAGGUGUAAUUGCUUUCCCCUUCCAUGUGAAUUGCACAAAAACUAUUUUUAGAGGCAAAUGCUGUAUGCAGUGAAACCUGCCUUGCUAAAAUGUUUGAGAAACUACCGGAGAAACGUGCACCAAGUAAGGUGGCUCUACAGGGAACGUGGAGCUAAGCAGCUCCUCAUCUCUCACCUGGUGGAGCGCAGCUCAGCUCCCAGUUGAUACUGAAGUUGUGCCACUAAUUCCAGGGAACAAAACACUAGAAGUGAGAAAAAUACUGGCCUGAGUCCAUCCUUCUUCCUAGAGGGAAAAUGCUGUUCCAUCUUCCACAUGGCUUGGGUAGGUCCUGUACUGGUAUCUGCUCGUCAGUGGCUUUGCAAAUCCUGAUUAGGUAAUUAAGUCCCCAAGAGUCUAAGAUGCUCUAGGAGGUAUGCAGCAGUUGUGCUAGCAGUUCAGAAUGGAGGUCUGCAGCCAUCUGCUUUAUCUUGUUUAUCGCUGAGAUGAGUGUCUCAAUAUCUCUAGGGGUCCUGAAGCUGUAUUCCUUCAGUCUGAAAAAAGGGAUCAACUUUUUUAGAAGUGAAGACCACGGCAGCCCAGGAUGUGGCAUAUUCACUGUGAUUCUCACCUCAUGUCCACAUGAGCGCUCUUUGCACUUUCGUUGUACAGCACUUUGAACCUUUGUGCACAGAGAAAUGAUCUGAGGAAACUAUUGCACUCCUGGAUUUCAAGUCUUGGUGUGAUUCACAAGUCACUGAACUGGAUCUUCCAAGACAUGGCUCACUUAAUUAGACACCAUUUUGUUGACACCCCAUCUUGUUCUUUAUUAUUGUGUCUGUCAUCAUUUUAGGGUGGAUAUCUUGAUUAACUCAUCUCACAAGACAAAAGACAUAAUUACCUGUUACUGAAUUUCCUAGUAUCGGUCUGUCUGCCUGUAUGUCCAGUCACUAAAGCAUCUGUAGACUCCAUCUUUUCUCCUAAAUGCUGUGAUAUCCAAGUACUGGAUAUCAAGUAUACAUGCUUUUAUAUAUAUAUUUAUUCAUUUUAAUGUGUUUUUUUUUCCUGCUUGUUACUUCACGAGUGAUUCCUCUUCAUUUUUGCCACAGUAGAGCACCUGAGCUUCCCUGGAACCAGACGGGUUCUUUCUAGACCUACAUCAAUGGAUUAGUUUAACAGCUCUUAAGAGAUGUACACGGCUGAAUCACUGAGUUAAGACUGUGACUCUGCAUUCAUAGUUAUAAUACAUCUUCCAUAAAUUCACCAGCCUCCACCUUGUUACGUAUUUUGAUUCUGAUUUUCUGAUUUGGGAAGAGCCUCCCUGCACUGCUUCUUGAAAAUCAUCUCCUGAUUCCCAGCCUAAAUUUAUUCCUAACUUCUGCAGAAUUACUGUGCUUCUUGUGUAAAACAGAUUGCCCCAUCGAAAACCCAUUGGGCACAACAGGGACACUUUCCAGUCAGCCAUCACAUCAAAGAGCCUAAUUCUCUGUUGCUUCAUUCCUGCACUUGAACUCAGGAAUGGACUUGUUGGAGUUUAGCUCUGUCGUCAGCCUUUUCUAGCCCAUACACCAGGACGUGCAAUUGUAAAGUAGACAGCCUGAAGGUCACCCUGGCUUUGUACUCAUCUUUGCAGCACUGCUGAUGGAGAACAGAGACCAGUCGGGGUGCUUUGCCGUGUUUCAGGCUUCCCUGCACUCUUGGAAGGGGAUAAAAUAUCACCUCACUGGGGUAUGGUGGACAGGACUGAAGGCAUAGAGCUUUAGAGUGCAGCAUUUGGAAAACAUCAGAAUAAGCACAAGCAUUCGUGCUUCAAGUGUGGCCAGCACAACAGACUUCUGCUGCUAAAACAGAAGAUGCCUAAGAAUGGGGAGUUUUAUCUCCUACAGUUCCUGGCUUGUGAGAAGGAAGUCCUCCCAGCUAGACCAGCAGCAGUGCAAGCAAACAGCCCCCUGCCACCUGCGGUAAGCAAAGAUGUGCCAGAGCCAGCACCAGCUGCCCAGCAGCGGCAGAGGCAGGUGUGGCAACAGCCGAAAAGAAAAGAAACCUGAGGAGCAGCUAGAGAUGGAGCUUUUUACAUCAAAAUCAGAAGCCAAGCCAUGCUCACCAAGGUACCACAAACUCUCAUUUCUGUGCCACACCUGGAACAACAGCAAAACCAAAGCCAAGUCAACGGCCUCCCAAACCAAAGAAGCUCCUGCAUAUAUGAAGUGAUGACAAAAUAUGGGGCAUGCCAUGUUAACUUCACUUUCUCAUUGCUGGUGUGAUAGAGGCUUCACUAGACAUAGUUCACAGCUUCAGCUUCUGCACCCGGGCGCCUUGGUGACCACAUGCUGCUUCCUCAUUCAGAGCAGAGGUGCUGGCAGUCCCUGAACUGCGCUGCUGCAGGUUUUGUGCCUUUGAAUUAAUGACUGCUGCUGCUGCGGAGGGUACAGUGUGGCUGUGAUCAAGCUUGGAGCUCAUACCUCAGCACCCAGGUUUCUUCUCCCAUUGGAAGCCCAGCUGAUAGAUGGUCUAGCUAAUGGAUAUGGGUAAUGGGCAGAGAGAAAGCUGUAUCAGUGUUGACACCCUACGGCUCAGCUUAAGUAUUAAAAGUCACCAGGGCUAUUACGUAGUAAGAUUUUCUAUAGAGACUAACCUCCACUGAGCCUGGUAGCAAACAGAACAAAGAGGUUUGUGGGGCUACUAAUUGCAGAACAGCAAGAGUUCAUUAAGUAAUAAAACACUUUUAAAAUGAAGCAAGAAGGAGCCCAAGUAAGAAGCAUUUAAUUCUAAUGAAUAAUGGGGUGAGGAUUUUGCCUUUGGUGGUGUUAAAUCACUGAAAGAGCAAGACUGCAAAUUUACUGCUUGCUGGGCUAAUAAUAUGUUAAGUUUUAUUAUCUACAGCCUGUAUGCUGCUUUCUAAUUACAAGUCUGAUAUAAUAAAAGUGUGAUCUCUGCUUAUUC